This 505-nucleotide ribosomal RNA is filed under the name uncultured bacterium. RNAcentral's name for it is "partial 16S ribosomal RNA". It matches the Rfam family "Bacterial small subunit ribosomal RNA", at positions 28 to 507 of the family's 1533-position model. The record is from RNAcentral.
GACGAACGCUGGCGGCGUGCCUAAUACAUGCAAGUAGAACGCACAGUUUAUACCGUAGCUUGCUACACCAUAGACUGUGAGUUGCGAACGGGUGAGUAACGCGUAGGUAACCUGCCUGGUAGCGGGGGAUAACUAUUGGAAACGAUAGCUAAUACCGCAUAAUAUUAAUUAUUGCAUGAUAAUUAAUUGAAAGGUGCAAUUGCACCACUACCAGGUGGACCUGCGUUGUAUUAGCUAGUAGGUGAGGUAACGGCUCACCUAGGCGACGAUACAUAGCCGACCUGAGAGGGUGAUCGGCCACACUGGGACUGAGACACGGCCCAGACUCCUACGGGAGGCAGCAGUAGGGAAUCUUCGGCAAUAGACGAAAGUCUGACCGAGCAACGCCGCGGGAGUGAAGAAGGUUUUCGGAUCGUAAAGCUCUGUUGUAAGAGAAGAACGGGUGUGAGAGUGGAAAGUUCACACUGUGACGGUAUCUUACCAGAAAGGGACGGCUAACUACGUG